This is a long non-coding RNA of Oreochromis aureus, 496 nucleotides long. RefSeq lists it as uncharacterized. The transcript has 5 exons. The record is from RefSeq and is a predicted model, not a curated record. NCBI's taxonomy places the organism in Eukaryota, Metazoa, Chordata, Actinopteri, Cichliformes, Cichlidae.
UAAUGAUGAAGUCAUGAGCACAACAGAAAUCAUUGUUAUCACCACUGUCCCUAAUCCCACUGUGUCCACAUGGUGCCACCCUGAGAUGACCUACUGUAUUCUCACUUGUGAACCCAACGUCACAGACGACGCCAAACCGAUCACCUAUUACUGGGUGACUGGUGAUAUGGUGAAACAGUCUCCAACCAAUCAGUUCAACAUCACACAGGAAAACAGAGAGCGUUUGAUAAGCUGUCAGCUGGAAAACCCAGUCAGCCAUGAAUACAGUGAAAAAUCCUGAAUCCACUCUUAAUCAGGAAUCGGGCUUUACUGAGCUUACCAUUUGUAGGGAUUCUGGUGUUCCUGUUUGGCCUUAUUUGUUGCAAAUGCUGUUGUUGUACCCGCAGGACCCGAAGACAUCGCUCCUCCACCAUCAACACUGUGAGAUAGAGCAGUGCUGGAUCAAACUGUGACGAUGAGGAUGAAGAAGAGUUGGUGUUGCAUAAGCCACCAGCCA